GAACGAUUAAAGCCCCUUCGGGGGUGUAUAAAGUGGCGAACGGGUGAGUAACAGGUGGAUAAUCUACCUUUCGGUGGGGGACAACGGUUGGAAACGGCCGCUAAUACCGCAUACGAUUGCGAGGGCUUCGGUUCACGCAAGGAAAGGCGCCUCAAAGCGCCGCCGAAAGAUGAGUCCGCCCCCCAUUAGCUAGUUGGUGUGAUAAAAGCGCACCAAGGCGACGAUGGGUAGCCGGACUGAGAGGUUGGCCGGCCACACUGGGACUGAGACACGGCCCAGACACCUACGGGUGGCAGCAGUAGGGAAUAUUGGACAAUAGGCGAAAGCUUGAUCCAGCUAUGCCGCGUGGAUGACGAAGGCCUUCGGGUCGUAAAGUCCUUUUCUGAGGGAAGAACAUCCCGGGUAGGAAAUGGCCCGGGCUUGACGGUACCUCAGGAAUAAGCAACGGCUAACUCCGUGCCAGCAGCCGCGGUAAUACGGAGGUUGCAAGCGUUGUUCGGAUUUACUGGGCGUAAAGGGAGCGCAGGCGGCUUGGUCAGUCUAAAGUGAAAUCCCGGGGCUCAACCCCGGAAGUGCUUUGGAUACUGCCAAGCUUGAGUACGUGAGAGGUGAGCGGAAUUCCAGGUGUAGCGGUGAAAUGCGUAGAUAUCUGGAGGAACAUCGGUGGCGAAAGCGGCUCACUGGCACGAAACUGACGCUGAGGCUCGAAAGCGUGGGGAGCGAACGGGAUUAGAUACCCCGGUAGUCCACGCCGUAAACGUUGUGCACUAGGUGUGAGAGGUAUCGACCCCUCUCGUGCCGCAGCUAACGCAUUAAGUGCACCGCCUGGGGAGUACGAUCGCAAGAUUGAAACUCAAAGGAAUUGACGGGGGCCCGCACAAGCGGUGGAGCAUGUGGUUU
RNAcentral lists this ribosomal RNA (900 nucleotides) under uncultured bacterium. RNAcentral's name for it is "bacterial SSU rRNA". It matches the Rfam family "Bacterial small subunit ribosomal RNA", at positions 64 to 947 of the family's 1533-position model. The record is from RNAcentral.